This 180-nucleotide ribosomal RNA is filed under the name Pediococcus parvulus. RNAcentral's name for it is "partial 16S ribosomal RNA". It matches the Rfam family "Bacterial small subunit ribosomal RNA", at positions 1276 to 1454 of the family's 1533-position model. Lineage: Bacteria; Bacillati; Bacillota; Bacilli; Lactobacillales; Lactobacillaceae. The record is from RNAcentral.
UUAAAACCAUUCUCAGUUCGGACUGUAGGCUGCAACUCGCCUACACGAAGUCGGAAUCGCUAGUAAUCGCGGAUCAGCAUGCCGCGGUGAAUACGUUCCCGGGCCUUGUACACACCGCCCGUCACACCAUGAGAGUUUGUAACACCCAAAGCCGGUGGGGUAACCUUUUAGGAGCUAGCC